This 343-nucleotide non-coding RNA is filed under the name Acanthisitta chloris (rifleman). Its description in RNAcentral is "Eukaryotic large subunit ribosomal RNA". It matches the Rfam family "Eukaryotic large subunit ribosomal RNA", at positions 1459 to 1767 of the family's 3401-position model. Lineage: Eukaryota; Metazoa; Chordata; Aves; Passeriformes; Acanthisittidae. The record is from Rfam by way of RNAcentral.
AGUAGCAAAUAUUCAAACGAGAGCUUUGAAGGCCGAAGUGGAGCAGGGUUCCAUGUGAACAGCAGUUGAACAUGGGUCAGUCGGUCCUAAGCGAUAGGCGAGCGCCGUUCCGAAAGGGCGGGCGAUGGCCUCCGUUGCCCUCGGCCGAUCGAAAGGGAGUCGGGUUCAGAUCCCCGAAUCCGGAGUGGCGGAGACGGGCGCCGCGAGGCGCCCAGUGCGGUGACGCAACCGAUCCCGGAGAAGCCGGCGGGAGCCCCGGGGAGAGUUCUCUUUUCUUUGUGAAGGGCCGGGCGCCCUGGAAUGGGUUCGCCCCGAGAGAGGGGCCCGCGCCUUGGAAAGCGUC